This 1359-nucleotide long non-coding RNA is filed under the name Struthio camelus australis. Its description in RNAcentral is "lncRNA (ENSSCUG00000004614.1)". The record is from RNAcentral. Lineage: Eukaryota; Metazoa; Chordata; Aves; Struthioniformes; Struthionidae.
GAUGAUGACCAGGAUCCAGUCUUUCCACUUCCCAACUUGGUUUGUGGAUACUGAAUCCACAAGUGUUUGGGGAUGAACACAAGUAUUUUCCAGAUAUGCUGAAGAUCUGCAGCUCUUCUGAAUUUCACUGCAGGGUCCAAGUGCUCAGCCCGUCUGAAGGUCAGAGUACUUCCAAAUGUAUUUAAAUGCUUGAAUCCCAAAACACAAAAUGUCAAAAGAAGAUCUUGACGAUGUCUUUGUGAAUAUGGCAAAAAUCAGCAAGGGCUUGAUAUCCCCAAUGAAAUAUCUGAAAAUGGUCUUUAAAUGACUGUAAAAUUUCUAGUGUUUGUGUAGAUUUUACCUCCUCCCCUUUUCCGUGAAUGUGUAGUGACUAUCCUGAUGUACCCUUUCUGAGCUACACUUCAAGCAAUGGAGCGCACUUUGUGGGGACAGCAGGGCAGCUGGUAAAAAGGAGUCCUCCAACUUUUCCUGAAACAGUCAUCAAAGUUUCUUUGUUAGUUCAAAUUACCAGUCUGGUGUAAUGGAUUUCUCACUACAUUGUUCAGAAGUGCAUCAGGCCUAGAUCCCUCCACUGCUGUUGCAUUCCCUAGUGUGCAGCCUCCGUUUGGUGCACUGUCUGGAGGCACUUUCUCAAGUACCUCUUCCUGGGAGGAAGCCUUGCGCAGGCCAAAACCCAUAGGCUAGCUGGAGCUGUUUAUAAUCUUGGAUGCAGCUGCUGGAGCAGGGAUAAGUGUCCAGCCACACUUGCUCCAGGGCAAGUGAUGUCCCUCGGCUCCAGGACCCUCAUGUCCCAGGAUCCACAUCCCUGUGAGGGGGUGAUCCUGCGCAAGAUGCAUGCGAGGAAAGGGCCUGCCUCCCUCCACCACUGGGGCUUAAAAGUGGCUAUGCCCACCACAGUGAGCCAGGGCAGCAUGGCUACAGGAGAACUCAGCCCAGGACCAGCCCUGCCAGCACGGGGUAGAGUCUUGCCUGUAGAGACCAGUCUGGGGCUGCUGGAAGAGCUGUUUUCCCCUUCCCUGGCCCUGGGGGAGUCCUCGGGCAGGCCUUCAGCCGGAAGGAAAACGCCAACCCUCACAAGCACCUUCAAGGCAAUAGUUUUAUUAGCAAGGAGUGGGGGAAACUCUCCUCCAAGUCCAGGUACCAGCUGGAGAAGGGGCUCAGCAUUUACGAGGGACUAUCAAGAGUUCUCAGUGCAAUGGUGCAAUGCAGUCGUCUGGGGAAACUCUCCUCCAAGUCCAGGUACCAGCUGGAGAAGGGGCUCAGCAUUUACGAGGGACUAUCAAGAGUUCUCAGUGCAAUGGUGCAAUGCAGUCGUCUGCAUGCUGCUCUUUGAAAAUAAAGAGGUAUGUCUCGAGCCCU